UGUUGCCCGGAAGACACUCGGAAACUGAAACAACUAAACUGGAGCAGCUGGGAAGACGGAGAGCCAGAGCGGAAGUCAUGGGUCCCGGGUUCGGUUAGGAGAAGCCAGGGACGCGCCGGUUCUCAGAAAGCCAAUCGACUGCGCCGCAGAAACAUCGCUUGUAAAGAAGACAAGGCUGAAAAAGUCAUCUAGUUCACAGUGACUUCUGAAGACAUUCAGCAUAUGGCAAGCCCUGGUGGAAGGACCCAGGUUGACAGCAUGAUCACUGGUGAAUAGAAAGACGCCCCAAUCCCAGAGAUAAUGUUACGUCAUGUUUGGGGAUUUCCAGUGUUCGCUUCCAACAUCCGAGCGGGUCAUCUUGUCAAAUACCCUCACCUCAAGAGACAAGCAGAGAACAAAUAUGAAGAAAAUCCUCGACUACAGAAACCCCCGCUAUUUACCCUUUAGUGCCAGUUAUCUAUGGCUAUGCAAUAAGCCACCCCAAAACUCAUCAUUCUUCAUGACUCUGUGGGUGGGCACCUGUGCGGUGGCUCUCACUGGGGUCACACACAGCCACGUGCAGCUGGCGGACCAGCUGAUGGUGCUCAGCAAUCAAGAUGAUAGACACAGCUCUUCCGCACAUUGAGGUUUGGAUUUUCCACAGCGUGGUGAAGUCUAAGACAGCAAAAGCAGCUGCUUUAAAGCCUGUAGUUCCCCAGCCUCAGAAGCUGGGCAAUGUUGCUUCUGCUGUAUCCUAUAUUACUAUUUUUUUGUUCCUGUGACCAAAUAGUGACCAGAAGCCAUAUUCUCCCCUACAUCCCUCCCCACCCUGCUGGCUUCUUCCUUCCCCGAG
Jaculus jaculus (lesser Egyptian jerboa) is the source of this 832-nucleotide long non-coding RNA. RefSeq lists it as uncharacterized. The transcript has 3 exons. NCBI's taxonomy places the organism in Eukaryota, Metazoa, Chordata, Mammalia, Rodentia, Dipodidae. The record is from RefSeq and is a predicted model, not a curated record.